GGCCUCGUAUCUCAGUUGGCUAGAAUGUUGGUUGGCUCUACUAAAGCCUUCCCCUUGCUGGCGUGGGUUCAAAUCCCACUGAGGCCG
Molecule: non-coding RNA, 87 nt
Organism: Schistocephalus solidus
Lineage: Eukaryota; Metazoa; Platyhelminthes; Cestoda; Diphyllobothriidea; Diphyllobothriidae
Source: Rfam